This 507-nucleotide ribosomal RNA is filed under the name uncultured Kitasatospora sp. RNAcentral's name for it is "bacterial SSU rRNA". It matches the Rfam family "Bacterial small subunit ribosomal RNA", at positions 1 to 524 of the family's 1533-position model. The record is from RNAcentral. Lineage: Bacteria; Bacillati; Actinomycetota; Actinomycetes; Kitasatosporales; Streptomycetaceae.
ACAUACGCGUAGAGUUUGAUCAUGGCUCAGGACGAACGCUGGCGGCGUGCUUAACACAUGCAAGUCGAACGAUGAAGCCUUCGGGUGGAUUAGUGGCGAACGGGUGAGUAACACGUGGGAAAUCUGCCCUGCACUCUGGGACAAGCCUUGGAAACGAGGUCUAAUACCGGAUAUUACCUGUCCUCGCAUGGAGAUGGGUGGAAAGCUCCGGCGGUGCAGGAUGAUCCCGCGGCCUAUCAGCUUGUUGGUGGGGUAAUGGCCUACCAAGGCGACGACGGGUAGCCGGCCUGAGAGGGCGACCGGCCACACUGGGACUGAGACACGGCCCAGACUCCUACGGGAGGCAGCAGUGGGGAAUAUUGCACAAUGGGCGAAAGCCUGAUGCAGCGACGCCGCGUGAGGGAUGAAGGCCUUCGGGGUCGUAAACCUCUUUCAGCAGGGAAGAAGCGCAAGUGACGUACCUGCAGAAGAAGCACCGGCUAACUACGUGCCAGCAGCCGCGGUAAU